This 356-nucleotide unclassified non-coding RNA is filed under the name Hevea brasiliensis (rubber tree). Lineage: Eukaryota; Viridiplantae; Streptophyta; Magnoliopsida; Malpighiales; Euphorbiaceae. The record is from RNAcentral.
CUCCGGAAAGAUCGCGAAGGACCUAUUCGAGAUCGUCUGGACCAAGGGCGGCGAUCCGAAAGCGCUGGUCGACAGCCUCGGCAUGAAGCAGGUGACCGAUCUCGGCGCCAUCGGGGGGCCGACAUCAUCGCCGCCAAUCCCGACAAGGCCGAACAGGCGCGCGCCAAACCUCAGCUCAUGGGCUGGUUCGUCGGUCAGGUGAUGAAGUCAUCGGGCGGCAAGGUGAAUCCGCAGGCGGUGAACGACCUGCUGAAGGCCAAGCUCGGUAUCUAAACAUCGUUAACGAGAGGAUGGCGGGCGCGCGGCGUGGGCUUCGGGCGUCCCUUUACAGGCCCGUUUUCCGUUUUUAGGUUUGC